GACGAACCGUGCGAACGUUAUUCGGAAUCACUGGGCUUAAAGGGCGCGUAGGCGGGCGGCCGAGUCCGGGGUGAAAGCCCCCAGCUCAACUGGGGAAGUGCCUCGGAUACUGGUCGCCUCGAGGGAGAUAGGGGCGUGCGGAACUUCCGGUGGAGCGGUGAAAUGCGUAGAUAUCGGAAGGAACACCGGUGGCGAAAGCGGCGCGCUGGAUCUCUUCUGACGCUGAGGCGCGAAAGCCAGGGGAGCGAACGGG
RNAcentral lists this ribosomal RNA (253 nucleotides) under uncultured bacterium. RNAcentral's name for it is "partial 16S ribosomal RNA". It matches the Rfam family "Bacterial small subunit ribosomal RNA", at positions 524 to 776 of the family's 1533-position model. RNAcentral also lists the same sequence under 1 other name. The record is from RNAcentral.